GACGAACGCUGGCGGCGUGCUUAACACAUGCAAGUCGAGCGAUGAAACACCUUCGGGUGCGGAUUAGCGGCGAACGGGUGAGGAACACGUGAGGAAUCUGCCCUCCACUCUGGGAUAACUCCGGGAAACCGGGGCUAAUACCGGAUACUUUCAACUGGCGGCAUCGCCGGUUGAAGAAAGUUUUUCGGUGGAGGAUGACCUCGCGGCCUAUCAGCUUGUUGGGGAGGUAAAGGCUCACCAAGGCGACGACGGGUAGCCGGCCUGAGAGGGCGCCCGGCCACACUGGGACUGAGACACGGCCGAGACUCCUACGGGAGGAAGGAGUGGGGAAUAUUGCCCCAUGGGGGAAGCCCUGAUGCAGCAAGGCCGCGUGAGUGAUGACGGCCUUCGGGUUGUAAAGCUCUGUCUUCGGGGACGAUAAUGACGGUACCCGAGGAGGAAGCCACGGCUAACUACGUGCCAGCAGCCGCCGUAA
Molecule: ribosomal RNA, 475 nt
Filed under: uncultured bacterium
Lineage: Bacteria
Description: partial 16S ribosomal RNA
Rfam family: Bacterial small subunit ribosomal RNA
Source: RNAcentral